RNAcentral lists this ribosomal RNA (500 nucleotides) under uncultured bacterium. RNAcentral describes it as "bacterial SSU rRNA". It matches the Rfam family "Bacterial small subunit ribosomal RNA", at positions 29 to 518 of the family's 1533-position model. The record is from RNAcentral.
AAUGAACGCUGGCGGCGUGCCUAACACAUGCAAGUCGGAUGUGCCCGCAAGGGUGCAUGGCAGACGGGUGAGUAACGCGUGGGGAAUCUACCUCUUUGUGGGGGAAUAACGCUCCGAAAGGAGUGGUAAUACCGCAUGAGACCAAUGGCUGAAAUGCUGUUGGUGAAACCUGGGGACCGCAAGGCCUGGGGCAAGGAGAGGAUCCUGCGUCUGAUUAGCUAGUUGGCGGGGUAACGGCCCACCAAGGCGACGAUCAGUAGCCGGCCUGAGAGGGUGAUCGGCCACACUGGAACUGAGACACGGUCCAGACUCCUACGGGAGGCAGCAGUGGGGAAUUUUGCGCAAUGGGCGAAAGCCUGACGCAGCAACGCCGCGUGGGUGAUGAAGGUCUUCGGAUCGUAAAACCCUGUCGUCGGGGACGAAGGUAGCUUAGUUAACAGCUGAGUUGCUUGACGGUACCCGGAGAGGAAGCCCCGGCUAACUCUGUGCCAGCAGCCGAC